AGUGUGAUAGCUGGGUUAAAUGCUGGUUCCAUUCCCAGUUUUCUGAGGAAUCUCCAUACUGCUUUCCAUAGUGGUUGCACCAAUUUAUAGUUCCACCAGCAAU
RNAcentral lists this microRNA precursor (103 nucleotides) under Marmota monax (woodchuck). Lineage: Eukaryota; Metazoa; Chordata; Mammalia; Rodentia; Sciuridae. The record is from RNAcentral.